This 1357-nucleotide ribosomal RNA is filed under the name 'Bambusa bambos' phytoplasma. Its description in RNAcentral is "bacterial SSU rRNA". It matches the Rfam family "Bacterial small subunit ribosomal RNA", at positions 89 to 1444 of the family's 1533-position model. Lineage: Bacteria; Bacillati; Mycoplasmatota; Mollicutes; Acholeplasmatales; Acholeplasmataceae. The record is from RNAcentral.
GUUUUAGUGGCGAACGGGUGAGUAACACGUAAGCAACCUACCCUAAAGACGAGGAUAACCAUUGGAAACAGUGGCUAAGACUGGAUAGGAAGAUAAAAGGCAUCUUUUAUCUUUUAAAAGACCUAGUAAUAGGUAUGCUUUAGGAGGGGCUUGCGCCAUAUUAGUUAGUUGGUAGGGUAAUGGCCUACCAAGACGAUGAUGUGUAGCUGGACUGAGAGGUUGAACAGCCACAUUGGGACUGAGACACGGCCCAAACUCCUACGGGAGGCAGCAGUAGGGAAUUUUCGGCAAUGGAGGAAACUCUGACCGAGCAACGCCGCGUGAAUGACGAAGUACUUCGGUAUGUAAAGUUCUUUUAUCAAGGAAGAAAAGCAAAUGGCGAACCAUUUGUUUGCCGGUACUUGAUGAAUAAGCCCCGGCUAAUUAUGUGCCAGCAGCCGCGGUAAGACAUAAGGGGCAAGUGUUAUCCGGAAUUAUUGGGCGUAAAGGGUGCGUAGGCGGUCUAGUAAGUCAGUGGUGUAAUGGCAACGCUUAACGUUGUCCGGCUAUUGAAACUGCUAAACUUGAGUUAGAUAGAGGCGAGUGGAAUUCCAUGUGUAGCGGUAAAAUGCGUAAAUAUAUGGAGGAACACCAGAGGCGUAGGCGGCUCGCUGGGUCUUAACUGACGCUGAGGCACGAAAGCGUGGGGAGCAAACAGGAUUAGAUACCCUGGUAGUCCACGCCGUAAACGAUGAGUACUAAGUGUCGGGUUAAACCGGUACUGAAGUUAACACAUUAAGUACUCCGCCUGAGUAGUACGUACGCAAGUAUGAAACUUAAAGGAAUUGACGGGACUCCGCACAAGCGGUGGAUCAUGUUGUUUAAUUCGAAGAUACCCGAAAAACCUUACCAGGUCUUGACAUGUUUUUGCAAAAUGAUAGUAAUAUCGUGGAGGUUACCAGAAACACAGGUGGUGCAUGGUUGUCGUCAGCUCGUGUCGUGAGAUGUUAGGUUAAGUCCUAAAACGAGCGAAACCCUUAUCGUUAGUUGCCAGCACGUUAUGGUGGGGACUUUAACGAGACUGCCAAUGAUAAAUUGGAGGAAGGUGAGGAUCACGUCAAAUCAGCAUGCCCCUUAUGACCUGGGCUACAAACGUGAUACAAUGGCUGUUACAAAGGGUAGCUGAAACGCAAGUUCUUGGCCAAUCCCCAAAAACAGUCCCAGUCCGGAUUGAAGUCUGCAACUCGACUUCAUGAAGUUGGAAUCGCUAGUAAUCGCGAAUCAGCAUGUCGCGGUGAAUACGUUCUCGGGGUUUGUACACACCGCCCGUCAAACCACGAAAGUUGGCAAUACCCCAAAACGGUAGCCUAACUCGUUU